GCUGUAGCCAUGCCUACUUAGGGGCUGGCUACAGGUGUGCCUGACCACGCUUGUGAGGGUGUGGUCAGAGUGACGUAGUGUGACUUCGUUUGCUCUUUCGCUUUCACUUUGCUUCUUGCUGUACAGACUGCUGCCACGCCGGCUGGCUAGGUUACUCUGCUUGGAUCCUGGAAACAGAAGAGAUGAACACUUGGAUGGGAAGUUACGAGUGUCAUACAACAAGAUGAAAGCCCAGCCUGAUUUUCCUCAGCAAGACCUGAACAUUAAGGAAUCUCCUAAGACAGGGAAAGCUGGCUCUCUUCAAUUCACUUUAUAUACCACCAAACCUCCACUGGUGUUCUUGGCCAACAGAGCAAUAUGACAGCAAAACUGUUAGUAUCAUAGAAGAAAACUGAUUUAAAGAAACUUUUUUUUUUAAAGAAAACUGAUUUAAAGACUCUUGUAGAAUUAAUUUUCAAUGGUGACUAACAGUCAGAAAGGUAAUAUAUACAUCUUCAUUUUCUUUCAGACAACCAAUAUUCCACAUGGUAGACAAUUGUUUUAGAGUUCUAUAGCUGUGAUAAAUAAAACACAUGACCAGAAGCAAUUUGGGGUGGGGGGUGGGGCUUUUCA
Molecule: long non-coding RNA, 612 nt
Filed under: Cricetulus griseus (Chinese hamster)
Lineage: Eukaryota; Metazoa; Chordata; Mammalia; Rodentia; Cricetidae
Description: lncRNA (ENSCGRG00015036417.1)
Source: RNAcentral